GGUGAUAUUUGGCCAAAUCCAUUACAGACUACCUGGUUCCCAGUAUGGAUGAUGAAGGGGAAGGAGAAGAAGAUGAUGAUGAUGAAGAAGGAUUGGAAGAUAUCGAUGAAGAAGGAGAUGAGGAUGAAGCUGAAGAAGAUGAAGAUGAUGAGGGGGAGGAAGGAGAGGAGGAUGAAGGAGAAGAUGACUAACGAAACACUGAUGGAUUCCAUCCUUCUUUAUUAAUUUUCUCCAGUCCCUGGGAGGCAGUUGCAGUCUUUUUUUUUUUUUUUUCUCCUCUUGUGCUCAUUUGCCCUAUUUUUUGAAGACUUUUUUCUCUCCCUUUAUACCAUGUUUCUCAAUUUAUUUUGGGGGGUUGGGGAGGGAGAUACCUUGAGCAGAAUACAGUGGGAAAAGAAUCUCUACCCCUUUCUGAUCCAAAUUUGUUUAUAUCCCUUUCUGUCUCAACAAAAACUUGAUGGAAUCAACACCACCGUGCUCUGUGGGAAAAAAGAAAAACCUUCUGCUCCCCUAGCUCUGUUGGAAGCUGGAGGGUGCUAGGCCCCUGUGUAGUAUGGCAUAGACUUCUAGCUUUUCCCCUCCCUUCUUUGUAUAUUGGGCUCAGAGAUUACACUGUGUCUCUAUGUGAGUAUGGACAGUUAGCAUUUACCAACAUGUAUCUGUCUACUUUCUCUUGUUUAAAGAAAAGAAAAAAAAAAAACUUUUAAAAAUGGGGUUUUAGAAGUUCA
RNAcentral lists this long non-coding RNA (728 nucleotides) under Lynx pardinus (Iberian lynx). The record is from RNAcentral. Lineage: Eukaryota; Metazoa; Chordata; Mammalia; Carnivora; Felidae.